GCUUCAGGGAGUAGCUCAGUGGUGGAGCAUCUACUUUGAAUGCAGAAGGCCUCAGGUUCAACCCCUGGUGCAGGUA
Molecule: non-coding RNA, 76 nt
Organism: Podarcis lilfordi (Lilford's wall lizard)
Lineage: Eukaryota; Metazoa; Chordata; Lepidosauria; Squamata; Lacertidae
Source: the annotation of a GenBank genome assembly